CAACGCGAAGAACCUUACCUACUCUUGACAUCCACAGAAUUCGCUAGAGAUAGCUUAGUGCCUUCGGGAACUGUGAGACAGGUGCUGCAUGGCUGUCGUCAGCUCGUGUUGUGAAAUGUUGGGUUAAGUCCCGCAACGAGCGCAACCCUUAUCCUUUGUUGCCAGCACGUCAUGGUGGGAACUCAAAGGAGACUGCCGGUGAUAAACCGGAGGAAGGUGGGGAUGACGUCAAGUCAUCAUGGCCCUUACGAGUAGGGCUACACACGUGCUACAAUGGCAUAUACAAAGAGAAGCGAACUCGCGAGAGCAAGCGGACCUCAUAAAGUAUGUCGUAGUCCGGAUCGGAGUCUGCAACUCGACUCCGUGAAGUCGGAAUCGCUAGUAAUCGUAGAUCAGAAUGCUACGGUGAAUACGUUCCCGGGCCUUGUACACACCGCCCGUCACACCAUGGGAGUGGGUUGCAAAAGAAGUAGGUAGCUUAACCUUCGGGAGGGCGCUUACCACUUUGUGAUUCAUGACUGGGGUGAAGUCGUAAC
Molecule: ribosomal RNA, 536 nt
Filed under: Serratia sp. 2594
Lineage: Bacteria; Pseudomonadati; Pseudomonadota; Gammaproteobacteria; Enterobacterales; Yersiniaceae
Description: bacterial SSU rRNA
Rfam family: Bacterial small subunit ribosomal RNA
Source: RNAcentral